GACGAACGCUGGCGGCGUGCUUAACACAUGCAAGUCGAACGGAAAGGCCCUGCUUUUGUGGGGUGCUCGAGUGGCGAACGGGUGAGUAACACGUGAGUAACCUGCCCUUGACUUUGGGAUAACUUCAGGAAACUGGGGCUAAUACCGGAUAGGAGCUCCUGCUGCAUGGGGGGGGUUGGAAAGUUUCGGCGGUUGGGGAUGGACUCGCGGCUUAUCAGCCUGUUGGUGGGGUAGUGGAAUACCAAGGCUUUGACGGGUAGCCGGCCUGAGAGGGUGACCGGCCACAUUGGGACUGAGGUACGGCCCAGACUCCUACGGGAGGCAGCAGUGGGGAAUAUUGCGCAAUGGCCGGACGCCUGAUGCAGCAACGCCGCGUGCGGGAUGACGUCCUUCGGGUUGUAAACCGCUUUCGCCUGUGACGAAGCGUUAGUGACGGUAAUGGGUAAAGAAGCACCGGCUAACUACGUG
RNAcentral lists this ribosomal RNA (468 nucleotides) under uncultured bacterium. Its description in RNAcentral is "partial 16S ribosomal RNA". It matches the Rfam family "Bacterial small subunit ribosomal RNA", at positions 28 to 507 of the family's 1533-position model. The record is from RNAcentral.